UCUUCCCUCUGGCGGCGUGCCUAAUACAUGCAAGUCGAGCGAACGGACGAGAAGCUUGCUUCUCUGAUGUUAGCGGCGGACGGGUGAGUAACACGUGGAUAACCUACCUAUAAGACUGGGAUAACUUCGGGAAACCGGAGCUAAUACCGGCUAAUAUUUUGAACCGCAUGGUUCAAAAGUGAAAGACGGUCUUGCUGUCACUUAUAGAUGGAUCCGCGCUGCAUUAGCUAGUUGGUAAGGUAACGGCUUACCAAGGCAACGAUGCAUAGCCGACCUGAGAGGGUGAUCGGCCACACUGGAACUGAGACACGGUCCAGACUCCUACGGGAGGCAGCAGUAGGGAAUAUUCCGCAAUGGGCGAAAGCCUGACGGAGCAACGCCGCGUGAGUGAUGAAGGUCUUCGGAUCGUAAAACUCUGUUAGUAGGGAAGAACAUAUGUGUAAGUAACUGUGCUCAUCUUGACGGUACCUAAUCAGAAAGCCACGGCUAACUACGUG
Molecule: ribosomal RNA, 497 nt
Filed under: uncultured bacterium
Lineage: Bacteria
Description: partial 16S ribosomal RNA
Rfam family: Bacterial small subunit ribosomal RNA
Source: RNAcentral